Molecule: ribosomal RNA, 230 nt
Filed under: uncultured bacterium
Lineage: Bacteria
Description: partial 16S ribosomal RNA
Rfam family: Bacterial small subunit ribosomal RNA
Source: RNAcentral
GAUGAACGCUAGCGGCAGGCCUAAUACAUGCAAGCUGAACGGUAAAUGUUGUAGCAAUACAAUAUGAGAGUAGCGUAAGGGUGCGUAACACGUAUGCAAUCUACCCGCAACAGGAGGAUAGCUCCCCGAAAGGGAAGUUAAUACUCCAUAAGAUCACGAGAGGGCGAUCUGAUUGUGAUUAAACUACCAAGGGGUUGGCGGAUGAGCAUGCGUCUGAUUAGUUAGUUGGU